CAGUCUGGAGGACUCUAACCUUGACUUUCCAGCUUUGAGCUCCCUCUGGAAGCGCAGCAGCAAAACACUAUCAAGAAACUGCCUCCUGGCUAACAUUCUCAGCAAACCCUCAUGGCUAUUUACGGAAAUGAGCAGCCCAACAAGAAAAGUGACUGGAUAGGGUUAGGCAACCUGGGUUCAUUCUUCAAAGCAUUCCAGAGGAGUAAACAAGAGCAAGAGAGAUCAUGAUUCACAGAUGGUUUACACAGACCCCGAGACCAACUCGUCUUUGGACUGAAAAAGAGGAGCAGUCUGCAGCCUCCAGCCUUGCCCAGUUGUGUUAUCAAUAGCACUUACAAAGCCACCGCGAACACUGGCAGGAGGCUGACAAUGGAAAGUAAUAGCAGGAAAAAUGGAUUUUUCUCAACAGGUUGAAUACACUGCCAAAAUCCCUUUGCAAUCCACCUGCAGUCUGCAGACAUGGUGUUACAGAGAAGCUGAAGCUCAAUAACCAAUGGUGGACUUUAUAUACUAAAAAUAAAACAGCCCAUAAGACAAAAAACCAGUUUUUAAAUAAUAGUCAAACUUAUAGUCAUAAUAGAAAUGAUUGUUUUCUUUCUGUGAUGAACUUUCUCCAUUAAAUAUUAUUCUUUCUCUGGAAUAACUGUAAUGGAUGGUGACAGAUGCUGGUACUCAAAUUUAGGUUUUUUUUUCUCUCAGAAACUUAUCCUUAGGGCCUUCUACUUAGCAGCUCUUUUGAUGCGUUAUUAACCCACAACUCUCAUCUCAGAGACUCUUCAAUGGAGUGAGUACUUCUUGAAUAAAAACUUCUUGUACAAUCCCCAGAAUAAAAUAAUUCUUACUUCUCCUAAUUUGAUAAUUUGACCCAGUAGCUGAGAUACAAAGAGUCCUCUUUCUUUACAAACAGGAAAAACCAAAUACUAUAACUUAUAAACAUUAUAUGGUCUGGCAAAGUCAAUUUCCUGUGCAGCACAAUAUUGAAUAGUAAGUGUCUUAGUAACAGCAGGAAAAGAGAAUUUUUUGAAUGCUGUGUUUAUCACAGUCACCUACUUAUCUCUCACUAAUGCAAUACUACAUUGAAAGGAAAUUUCUGUGAAUUGGAGAAAUGACGAUUUGACCCCAUGCAGAAAGACAGUUUUCCUAUUUUAUGAACCUAUGCAAAAUUAAAAUUUUUCACCAGAUUAACUUUAAGUUCAUUACAACCAUUGUCUGAUAUUCUAUAUUGUUAAGUUAUAUUUAAUACUUGUUAUGAGAUUAAGAUACAGAGAUAUAUCUAGUUUAAGGAAAUAGCUUCAAAAUUCCUUUGUAAGAUAAUUGUAUUAAACCAAAUAUUCAGAUUAAUGGUGAUGGGAUUCAUUUAAUGUCUAAUAUGUCUAACAGCAAAGAAGAAAUCACUGACUAAGACAGUGAAGAGAGAAAUUUUGGUGUCAUCACUGCCUCUUUGCAAUCACUUCCCCAAAUGUUUAUACAUGUAAGCACUGACUAAAAAUCACUUAAAAGAUUUAAUCCGAUGCUAUUAGAGCUUUUGCUGCUUGUUUACUAUGUUUGACCUGCUUAUGUAAGUACUUUAAACUAGUGCAUUGUCUGAAACUAAUCUGCAACUGGUGAGUUUAAAGGCUAGUUUAAAACAUGGGUGUUGAUUAUAAAAUGGCCAGAAUAAUUUUAUAUUAUUUCAAAAUUUAUGUAAAAAUGAGUGUAUCAAAGUACAAAAAAGCAUCUGACUAUUUAUACUCAAAUUUAAAAAUCAUAAAUAUAUAAUAAUUAACCAGUAAUUUUGAAAUAGAUAAUUUCCCUCUAUGUUUUAAUACAUUUAAUAAUGGAGAUCUUCAGGCUAGCAUGUUCUACAGAAGACGUGUAAAUGUUUAGUGAAAAAAAAUAAAGAGAAUGCAUGCUGGUACUCCUUUGAAGGAAACUUUUAAUGUGAAGACACCAUUAACACAUUUGAUCUGUCAUGAUAGGUAGUAGAAUAUGAUUUUACAAAAAUUAAAAGAAACUUUUAUUGGAAUGGACCAGAAAUUUAACAAAAAAAGCAUUUGAUAAGGGUUAUAUUUCUGGACAUCUAGUACAGGCAAUUAUUGGUAAUAAUAAUAUUUCCUUUCAUUGAUGACUAUCAGAGAUAUUAAAAUGGUGUUUUGGUAGUCUGUUGAUCAUCUGACAUUUUCCUGGCAUACCAAAGAAGUUAAAAUAAAAUUAUUUGGGAAAACACUAUUACUUUUCUGUCCUAGAUUUAUGGUUAUAUUCAUCAUAGGAACUGAUUUCAUGUUGUGCCAUCAAGUGACUUCAUGCAUUACCCAACAGCUUUCUUCCUGCCAAUCCAAAGAUGGGCCCAGAAGCAAAAAACUGCUCACUGACCCACAUAGUUCUCUCUUGCUCUCAAAACAUUACAUCAGAGCAUUUGUGGUAGGACACCACAACCAGACAUGGAGAACUUUUUGCAGCAGAACAAGAUGCUAAUGAAAGAUCUGCAGAUUUCCACAGUGUUGUCUCCUGUUCAUGGUGCUGCAACUUGCUGUCUGCAGAUGAAAGUUACUUCCCAUUAAUAAUUGAUGCUGCAACGCACCCUAGUCUGUUUUAGUGACAGAUAGUGUUGCUUAGUUUGAGGAACCACUGCCAGAAGCUUAAUAGUCAUUGGUUUUGAUGAGCUGAAAAUGGGCUAACACUGGCCUUUGUUUUUUUCAGAAACACAUGAAAAACAACUAUUGCCAUGACCACAAAGUAGUAGCAAUCCCUUUUCACAAAUGCAGUUUGUUCAUAACCAUGUGACAUAGACCACAAAUAGCCUUCUUAUAUUUCACAUACAUGAACAAUUAACAUGAACAGUAUAUAUAAUAUUUACUUUACAAAAAAAACCUAACUAAACUGCUAUAUGAACAACCCAUCUAUUAGCAAAGGAUUAAUUUCCUAUUCCACAUUAAAUCCAGACUGUAUGCCUAGCUAACUUGCUUGCUAUGACACUGUACUGGUUGCAGGUAUAAGGUGGUAGCAAGGAACCAGAUAAGUUUUCCAGAAUCCCACUCCUUGACCUUGUCCAAGUCUCUCUGGAUGGCAUUUUGUCCUUCAGACAGAUUGUAUUUAUGUUAUAAAAAUAUGUGUGCAAACAAUGAAAUAGGAAAUAAAUACAGAGUCAAUAGACUUUAAACUAUUAUAUGGAUCUCCACAAAUAUAAUGAAGACUACUUAAUCUCAUUUGGCUCUACCUUUCAAAGGAGCUUGAGUUUCUAGUCAAAUGAAGGCCAUUCAUGUGGGGUGAGAUACCCAUAACACCUUUGCCUUCAUGUUUCCCCUAAAGCAGUUGUAAAAAAAUCCUAUUUUUUUUGUUUUCAUAGGAAUUUAGAAAAGUAUAAAACUAAAGUGGGCCUCAAAAAUGCAAAGAAACUUUGGAGAUUAUACUCUGCCACGUAACAGAAAGAGAUGAGAGCAUACAUUGACAGACCAGGAACAGUUAGGAAUGAAAGAUCAAAUAAGAUGUGAGAAAUCAAAAUACUAAGAGAUGUUUGGGAACCAGUAUCAUAUUACUAAUUUAAUUACCAGUGCAAAUGGUACAUGUGUAGACAAUAUUGUGCAAAAGAGAGGGGACAGAGAGGUUGAAUGUUGAAUUUCUUUAUUUCUUCCUUUCUCUACUUCAUUAUUCCUGAUGUCAAAAGAGUGCAAUUUCUGUCCAUACAUCUCACUGGAGUUUUAUUGAGCUGAUGGGGAUUCUACAAAUUAAUCUGUGAUAUUGUAUCAUAAUUCAGUGGACAAUGCUUUAAAAAAAAUUCCAGACCUAUCCCUGUAUUUUCUUUUUCAUAUUUUCUGGUGGUUGUGAUUAAAGAUUUUAAAUCAACACCAGUUGCCACACCAUGGCGUCUGAAAUACUAUUGUCAUUUUCUCCUAUAAGAUAGACACAUCAGGAUAAAUAUUUCAAUGUCAAAGCAAGUGUUUCUUUUUCCUCCAUGACUACUGAAUUGUCCUACAGAUGAUAAAAAUGCAGAACUUGAAGGAGUAUAACGUGAAAAGAUUAAAACUAUGCCUUUUCUGUAAAGAGGAGCUGAAUUAGAGCAAAACAGGUAAAAGUAAGAAAGGAAUAAAAAGCCCUGGACUUUCCAAAAUCUUAUGGUAAUUUAAAUAAACAGUUUAAGGAAAUAAAUUUCUUUGUAGGAAGGAAUGAAUUCUUACUUUGGACUAAACCACAUGUUUAUUAUUUUUAUUGCAUUAAUUCUCUUCUCCCUCCCCGCCCCACCCAGCAUGAAGGUAAAUUA
Camarhynchus parvulus is the source of this 4237-nucleotide long non-coding RNA. RefSeq lists it as uncharacterized. The transcript is spliced from 5 exons. NCBI's taxonomy places the organism in Eukaryota, Metazoa, Chordata, Aves, Passeriformes, Thraupidae. The record is from RefSeq and is a predicted model, not a curated record.